AUUUCAUAAAUAAAAAAGAAAAUUUCUUCAAACAUUUUUUUGAGAGGAUUAAUAUUCAACAGCAUAGUGAAUUGCUCUAAGAGAAAAAAAAAAUUAAGUUCAUUAGAACACAUUCAUUCUGUGUCAGAAACCUAUGCUGUGUCAACUAUUUAAUCACAAUCCAAAUUUAGAGCUGAAUCCAGCUUGAAUGUUGUGUCCAUACUUGCCCCAA
Molecule: long non-coding RNA, 211 nt
Filed under: Mytilus galloprovincialis (Mediterranean mussel)
Lineage: Eukaryota; Metazoa; Mollusca; Bivalvia; Mytilida; Mytilidae
Source: RNAcentral